GGGGAGUUAGUUCAGUUGGUUAGAACGCCGGCCUGUCACGCCGGAGGCCACGGGUUCAAGUCCCGUACUCCUCGCCAAUA
RNAcentral lists this transfer RNA (80 nucleotides) under Allostigmatella aurantiaca DW4/3-1. RNAcentral describes it as "Stigmatella aurantiaca DW4/3-1 tRNA-Asp". It matches the Rfam family "tRNA". From Rfam's summary of the family: Transfer RNA (tRNA) molecules are approximately 80 nucleotides in length. Their secondary structure includes four short double-helical elements and three loops (D, anti-codon, and T loops). Lineage: Bacteria; Pseudomonadati; Myxococcota; Myxococcia; Myxococcales; Archangiaceae. The record is from RNAcentral.